ACGCUGGCGGCAUGCUUUACACAUGCAAGUCGGACGGCAGCACAGAGAAGCUUGCUUCUUGGGUGGCGAGUGGCGAACGGGUGAGUAAUAUAUCGGAACGUACCGAGUAAUGGGGGAUAACUAAUCGAAAGAUUAGCUAAUACCGCAUAUUCUCUGAGGAGGAAAGCAGGGGACCUUCGGGCCUUGCGUUAUUCGAGCGGCCGAUAUCUGAUUAGCUAGUUGGUGGGGUAAAGGCCUACCAAGGCGACGAUCAGUAGCGGGUCUGAGAGGAUGAUCCGCCACACUGGGACUGAGACACGGCCCAGACUCCUACGGGAGGCAGCAGUGGGGAAUUUUGGACAAUGGGCGCAAGCCUGAUCCAGCCAUGCCGCGUGUCUGAAGAAGGCCUUCGGGUUGUAAAGGACUUUUGUCAGGGAAGAAAAGGCUGUUGCUAAUAUCGACAGCUGAUGACGGUACCUGAAGAAUAAGCACCGGCUAACUACGUGCCAGCAGCCGCGGUAAUACGUAGGGUGCGAGCGUUAAUCGGAAUUACUGGGCGUAAAGCGAGCGCAGACGGUUACUUAAGCAGGAUGUGAAAUCCCCGGGCUCAACCUGGGAACUGCGUUCUGAACUGGGUGACUAGAGUGUGUCAGAGGGAGGUAGAAUUCCACGUGUAGCAGUGAAAUGCGUAGAGAUGUGGAGGAAUACCGAUGGCGAAGGCAGCCUCCUGGGAUAACACUGACGUUCAUGCUCGAAAGCGUGGGUAGCAAACAGGAUUAGAUACCCUGGUAGUCCACGCCCUAAACGAUGUCAAUUAGCUGUUGGGCAACUUGAUUGCUCAGUAGCGUAGCUAACGCGUGAAAUUGACCGCCUGGGGAGUACGGUCGCAAGAUUAAAACUCAAAGGAAUUGACGGGGACCCGCACAAGCG
This 909-nucleotide ribosomal RNA is filed under the name uncultured bacterium. RNAcentral describes it as "bacterial SSU rRNA". It matches the Rfam family "Bacterial small subunit ribosomal RNA", at positions 33 to 931 of the family's 1533-position model. The record is from RNAcentral.